ACCAUUGUAUCGCUGUCAGGUAAGAAUCUUUUCAAAUGAUUCUGCUGGGAAGGGGGUGAGAAUCCCCCGCAGCCCCCGCUGCUGUGAUGCCGACAAAUCCGUAUCCCCGAUGGAUUGCAAAAAUGAAGGGGAGAGCCACUGAUCGUAAGAUUGGGAAGGCGCGGAGGAGGAUGACGCUAAGCCAGAAGACCGACCUGACAAGCUAUACCCGU
RNAcentral lists this non-coding RNA (212 nucleotides) under Brenneria goodwinii. The record is from RNAcentral. Lineage: Bacteria; Pseudomonadati; Pseudomonadota; Gammaproteobacteria; Enterobacterales; Pectobacteriaceae.